RNAcentral lists this long non-coding RNA (1075 nucleotides) under Vitis vinifera (wine grape). RNAcentral's name for it is "long non-coding RNA (VVIN_LNC000721)". The record is from RNAcentral. Lineage: Eukaryota; Viridiplantae; Streptophyta; Magnoliopsida; Vitales; Vitaceae.
AAACUUUAUAUAAAGCAUAUCGGGUUUGGGCACGUCUGGACAAAUGUGCAGAGCCAAGGACUCGAAUCCUGAGCCUGAUGUUCCCCUGCUUCAAUGCUAGCUGUCAUAAGGAAUGCUUUACUGGCCUAGUCUACUCCUAACUAUGAUUUGUUUUGGCACUUUUCCCGAUGCGUUUGAUGGUCGUGAUCAGGUGUAAUUGCAGCGAUCUCACGCCUAUCAGACUCUGUCAAGCUUACACCAGCUCCACAACCAAUGCACGUGUCGAGGGGCUCGAGACGCCAUAGUUGUGAUCAGUGGAACCUUGCGGAUUUAUGUUAGAAAAACUAAGUGGAGUGUUGCUAAUGUGCGCACUAACUAGGUGGCAGUUUAAACCAGUUAAAUGUGAACUAGGCUAGCUUAGAUCUAAGGAUCGGAUUGUAACUAGGCGCGCGAUCGAGCCGCGAGGUGAAAAUGAAAUGACUUACCACAUCGUUCGCAGCUGGUGCUGGUGAGAUUCCGCCUGAGAUCGGUCCAGGCGCCUCCGCUGGUGGUGCCGGCGGGCUGUUCGUAAGUGGCGAUGGAGCCAAGGCCGGAGAUUUCACUUUUGUGCUUGGAGCUGGCGCUGGAACCGCUGCUGGUGGAGAGGCGAGAGGAGCCGGUGGAGGAGUUGCGGGAGGAGGAGUUGCAGGUGGAGGAGUGGCCGGUGGGGGAGUGGCCGGUGGUGGAGUAGCCGGUGGAGGAGUGGCGGGCGGAGGGGUGGCCGGUGGAGGUGUUGCUGGUGGAGGGGUUGCUGGUGGAGGAGUGGCUGGUGGAGGAGUGGCCGGUGGUGGAGUGGCUGGGGGUGGAGUGGCCGGUGGUGGAGUGGCAGGCGGAGGAGUAGCCGGUGGCGGGGCUGAUACCGGAGGAGGAGACGAGGCGGGAGGAGAUGUAACAGCAGUUGGUGGUGACGCGGCGGGAGUUGUGGGGGUAGGAGGAGCUGGAGUGGCGGUGGGCCCUCCAGCGGGAGCCUGACCUCCAACGCCGGCGAAGACAAUGCAGACCAAUCCAAGAACAAGCAAACUCUUGCAAUCCAUCGUGUUAAGCUGCGCACACUGAC